AGAGUUUGAUCCUGGCUCAGAAUGAACGCUGGCGGCGUGCCUAACACAUGCAAGUCGAACGAGGAAUCCUGAGCUUGCUCGGGAGAGUAAAGUGGCGCACGGGUGAGUAACGCGUAGGCAAUCUGUCUUCGGUACCGGGAUAACACUGCGAAAGCGGUGCUAAUACCGGAUGAAGUUCAUUGGACUGCGGUCCGGUGGAUGAAAGGGGGCUUCUGUAUACAGGCUUCCGACCGGGGAUGAGCCUGCGUACCAUUAGCUUGUCGGCGGGGUAACGGCCCGCCGAGGCGACGAUGGUUAGCCGGUCUGAGAGGAUGAUCGGCCACACCGGAACUGGAACACGGUCCGGACUCCUACGGGAGGCAGCAGUGAGGAAUUUUGCGCAAUGGGGGCAACCCUGACGCAGCAACGCCGCGUGAGUGAAGAAGGCUUUCGGGUCGUAAAGCUCUGUCGGGCGGGAAGAACCUGCACGGUGGUAAUAUAACCGAGCACUGACGGUACCGCCUAAGGAAGCACCGGCUAACUCCGUGCCAGCAGCCGCGGUAAUACGGGGGGUGCGAGCGUUAUUCGGAAUUAUUGGGCGUAAAGGGCGCGCAGGCGGCCCGGCAGGUCAGAUGUGAAAUCCCGGGGCUUACCCCCGGAAGUGCAUUUGAAACCGCCGGGCUUGAGUAUGGGAGAGGAAGGCGGAAUUCCCGGUGUAGAGGUGAAAUUCGUAGAGAUCGGGAGGAACACCAGUGGCGAAGGCGGCCUUCUGGACCAAUACUGACGCUGAGGCGCGAAGGCGCGGGGAGCAAACAGGAUUAGAUACCCUGGUAGUCCGCGCAGUAAACGGUGAUCACUAGGUGUGGCGGGUAUUGACCCCUGCCGUGCCGGAGCCAACGCAUUAAGUGAUCCGCCUGGGGAGUACGAUCGCAAGAUUAAAACUCAAAGGAAUUGACGGGGGCCCGCACAAGCGGUGGAGCAUGUGGUUUAAUUCGACGCAACGCGAAGAACCUUACCCGGAUUUGACAUCUGCGGAAUCUCUUUGAAAGAAGAGAGUGCCUUUCGGGGAGCCGCAAGACAGGUGCUGCAUGGCUGUCGUCAGCUCGUGUCGUGAGAUGUUGGGUUAAGUCCCGCAACGAGCGCAACCCCUGUCUUCAGUUGCCAUCAUUAAGUUGGGGACUCUGGAGAUACUGCCCCGGUCAACGGGGAGGAAGGUGGGGAUGACGUCAAGUCCUCAUGGCCUUUAUAUCCGGGGCUACACACGUGCUACAAUGGGCUGUACAGAGGGCUGCGACCCUGCGAGGGGGAGCGAAUCCCGGAAAACAGUCCUCAGUUCGGAUCGGAGUCUGCAACCCGACUCCGUGAAGCCGGAAUCGCUAGUAAUCGCGGAUCAGCAUGCCGCGGUGAAUACGUUCCCGGGCCUUGUACACACCGCCCGUCACACCAUGAGAGUUGGCUGUACCAGAAGCUGCGGGGCCAACCGUUUUACGGGGGCAGGCAUCUAAGGUAUGGCUGAUGAUUGGGGUGAAGUCGAAACAAGGUA
RNAcentral lists this ribosomal RNA (1522 nucleotides) under metagenome. RNAcentral describes it as "bacterial SSU rRNA". It matches the Rfam family "Bacterial small subunit ribosomal RNA". The record is from RNAcentral.